ACUCCACUCAUCCAUCUUUACAUGAUUUGAGAAUAUCAAAACUUUAUUCCAAGUAGAAUAACAUGAGGUGAUGGUAUGCCUGAUUUUUUCUUUCAUAUUUUUUCUUUCUCUGUUUGGUCCUCUGGAAAAGGGACUUUCAGUCUUUCCUUGAUUACUUGCUCAUACUCUUUUCUUUCUAUUUAUCAAUUCAGCUUCAUAUUGGAGACUGGGUGGAAUAAUCAAACAUUGGUUAGGAGAGCAUGUAUCAAAAGUAAUAAACCUAAUAAGAAAGGGGAAAAGCUCUCAUGAGUGAACAAUCAAAAUAUAAGUCCUCUGGAAAAUCUCCAAAAGGGCCUGGGUCAUUUGGAACAUGUGUUUGGAAGGGGUUCAAAUUUGAUUAGAAAGAGGAUCAAAAUGACACAGCUAUGAGGUCCAGAAUAUGUUAGUACAUUGAGUACUCUCUUGGUCUGUCCCUGUUCCAUUAUAUAUGCUUUGAGAAUGAAGCUUCUAUAGAGGUGAAUGAGGUGAGAGAGCGCGUGCUGAACUUCUUUCUCUAUUGCAUAUCAGAAAUUAGGGAACUCUGGAGCAGGUUCAAGUGCUGAUUUGCACUCUUCGUCCAAAUCUCUACCAGGAGGAAAGUAUAAGUCUUGUUGAGCUUUACCCAUUUUCUCUACAACUAUCACAAGGAUGCAGCAGUUGGCUCCUUCCGGAGCUCCACAAAGGAGAAGAGAUCGGCCCAGAGCUCCUCAAAGCUAUAAUGGAGUCAAAAAUCUCAUCCAAUCUUCUGCAAAAACUAUGCAUAUAUGGUGCCUCCGCGAGUUGGUCAUCAAGAUGGUGCAAUGCAAGAGAAGUAUGGGACAAUUGAUUUUACCAAUCUAUGAUGUUGAGCCGUCAGAUGUAAGGCACCGGUUUGGGAGUCGGGAGAUUCUUGACGCGAGAAUUCAAAGACUGCCAAGGAGCAUUCACUAGCUCUCAUGCCAGCAAACCUUUAAUUUAGGAGGCUGCACGGAGCUCCAAUCAAUUGCUGCUGAAGUUUCCCCCAAGUUUAAAGAGUCUACAUGUCCCUGGCUUUAUCCCUGGUCUUGCAAAUUUGAUCAAUUUACUUGAACUUCGGAUUAUUGGAAAAAUGUUCAAAUUGGAGAAAUUGAACUUGGAACUUGUAAAUAUUAGGACCCUGCCCGGAGAGAUUAGUACCCUUUGAAUUUUAAAUGCAACUUGGGAUUACCCUCAAGUCUGGUUGAUUUAUCUGUAUACAAUUGUAAGUCACAAAUAUUCGGGGGUCCAUUUGAUCCCGAGGAACUGAAGGAAGGA
This is a long non-coding RNA of Cornus florida, 1290 nucleotides long. RefSeq lists it as uncharacterized. The transcript has 3 exons. The record is from RefSeq and is a predicted model, not a curated record. Lineage: Eukaryota; Viridiplantae; Streptophyta; Magnoliopsida; Cornales; Cornaceae.